UCGAAAAGCCUUGACGAGCCAGGAGGCUCAUGGGCCGCGAGCUCUAGCGUAGUAAAAAGAAGGAAGAAACAAAAAUUGAAGAAGAAAAAAGGGGUCAUGAACCCCAUUUGCGAGCGAGAACAGUAACUAAAGUAAGGCUUACUACUCGGCUACAGCGUGCGUCGCUUCAUCCAGAUGUUGUGUACGAUCUGCAUAAGUCUGCGCUGAAUAUCUAUCUCCAUGAC
This 224-nucleotide long non-coding RNA is filed under the name Volvox carteri. RNAcentral describes it as "long non-coding RNA (VCAR_LNC002191)". The record is from RNAcentral. Lineage: Eukaryota; Viridiplantae; Chlorophyta; Chlorophyceae; Chlamydomonadales; Volvocaceae.